UGGGGAAUUUUCCGCAAUGGGCGCAAGCCUGACGGAGCAAUACCGCGUGAGGGAGGAAGGCUCUUGGGUUGUAAACCUCUUUUCUGGGGGACGAUGGUGACGGUACCCGGGGAACAAGCACCGGCCAACUCCGUGCCAGCAGCCGCGGUAAGACGGAGGGUGCGAGCGUUGUUCGGAAUCACUGGGCGUAAAGGGCGCGUAGG
RNAcentral lists this ribosomal RNA (203 nucleotides) under uncultured Rhodospirillales bacterium. Its description in RNAcentral is "partial 16S ribosomal RNA". It matches the Rfam family "Bacterial small subunit ribosomal RNA", at positions 355 to 575 of the family's 1533-position model. Lineage: Bacteria; Pseudomonadati; Pseudomonadota; Alphaproteobacteria; Rhodospirillales. The record is from RNAcentral.